AACGAACGCUGGCGGCGUGUUUAAGACAUGCAGGUCGCACGGGAUCAGAUAUGUAGCAAUACUUGUCUGGUUCAGUGGCGCACGGGUGAGUAACACGUGAAUUACAUGCCCUUCAGAGGGGGAUAGCCCAGGGAAACUUGGAUUAAUACCCCAUGGUCUCGCAAGAGUAAAGGUGGCCGCAAGGCUGUCGCUGGAGGAUUGGUUCGCGCCCUAUCAGCUUGUUGGUGAGGUAACGGCUCACCAAGGCUACGACGGGUACCUGGUUUGAGAGGACGAUCAGGCACACUGGAACUGAGACACGGUCCAGACACCUACGGGUGGCAGCAGUCGAGAAUAAUUCACAAUGGGGGCAACCCUGAUGGUGCAACGCCGCGUGGAGGAUGACGGUCUUCGGAUUGUAAACUCCUGUCAUCCGGGAGUAAGACCUGGCGAUGAAUAGUCGACAGGGUUGAUAGUACCGGAAGAGGAAGGGACGGCUAACUUCGUGCCAGCAGCCGCGGUAAUACGAAGGUCCCGAGCGUUGUUCGGAAUCACUGGGCGUAAAGGGAGCGUAGGCGGCGUGGUAAGUCUAGAUGUGAAAUCCCGGGGCUCAACCCCGGAACUGCAUCCUGAUACUGCCGUGC
This 623-nucleotide ribosomal RNA is filed under the name uncultured bacterium. RNAcentral describes it as "bacterial SSU rRNA". It matches the Rfam family "Bacterial small subunit ribosomal RNA", at positions 28 to 641 of the family's 1533-position model. The record is from RNAcentral.